AGAGUUUGAUCCUGGCUCAGGAUGAACGCUGGCGGCGUGCUUAACACAUGCAAGUCGAACGAAGCAAUAGGAAGGAAGUUUUCGGAUGGAAUUCAUAUUGACUGAGUGGCGGACGGGUGAGUAACGCGUGGGUAACCUGCCUCAUACAGGGGGAUAACAGUUAGAAAUGACUGCUAAUACCGCAUAAGCGCACAGAAUCGCAUGAUAAUGUGUGAAAAACUCCGGUGGUAUGAGAUGGACCCGCGUCUGAUUAGCUAGUUGGUGGGGUAAAGGCCUACCAAGGCGACGAUCAGUAGCCGACCUGAGAGGGUGAUCGGCCACAUUGGGACUGAGACACGGCCCAAACUCCUACGGGAGGCAGCAGUGGGGAAUAUUGCACAAUGGGGGAAACCCUGAUGCAGCAACGCCGCGUGAGUGAAGAAGUAUUUCGAUAUGUAAAGCUCUAUCAGCAGGGAAGAAGAUGACGGUACCUGAGUAAGAAGCCCCGGCUAACUACGUGCCAGCAGCCGCGGUAAUACGUAGGGGGCAAGCGUUAUCCGGAUUUACUGGGUGUAAAGGGAGCGUAGACGGCAUAGCAAGUCUGAAGUGAAAGCCCAAGGCUCAACCAUGGGACUGCUUUGGAAACUGUUAAGCUAGAGUGCUGGAGAGGUAAGCGGAAUUCCUAGAGUAGCGGUGAAAUGCGUAGAUAUUAGGAAGAACACCAGUGGCGAAGGCGGCUUACUGGACAGUAACUGACGUUGAGGCUCGAAAGCGUGGGGAGCAAACAGGAUUAGAUACCCUGGUAGUCCACGCUGUAAACGA
This 801-nucleotide ribosomal RNA is filed under the name uncultured bacterium. RNAcentral's name for it is "bacterial SSU rRNA". It matches the Rfam family "Bacterial small subunit ribosomal RNA", at positions 8 to 809 of the family's 1533-position model. The record is from RNAcentral.